RNAcentral lists this ribosomal RNA (545 nucleotides) under Schwanniomyces vanrijiae var. yarrowii. Its description in RNAcentral is "eukaryotic LSU rRNA". It matches the Rfam family "Eukaryotic large subunit ribosomal RNA", at positions 89 to 650 of the family's 3401-position model. Lineage: Eukaryota; Fungi; Ascomycota; Pichiomycetes; Serinales; Debaryomycetaceae. The record is from RNAcentral.
GCGAGUGAAGCGGCAAAAGCUCAAAUUUGAAAUCUGGCACCUUCGGUGUCCGAGUUGUAAUUUGAAGAAGGUAACUUUGGAGUUGGCUCUUGUCUAUGUUCCUUGGAACAGGACGUCACAGAGGGUGAGAAUCCCGUGCGAUGAGAUGCCCAAUUCUAUGUAAAGUGCUUUCGAAGAGUCGAGUUGUUUGGGAAUGCAGCUCUAAGUGGGUGGUAAAUUCCAUCUAAAGCUAAAUAUUGGCGAGAGACCGAUAGCGAACAAGUACAGUGAUGGAAAGAUGAAAAGAACUUUGAAAAGAGAGUGAAAAAGUACGUGAAAUUGUUGAAAGGGAAGGGCUUGAGAUCAGACUUGGUAUUUUGCAAGCUUUACCUUCGUGGUGGAGUCCCCUGCAGUUUACUGGGCCAGCAUCGGUUUGGAUGGUAGGAUAAUGACUUGGGAAUGUGGCUUUGCUUCGGUAAAGUGUUAUAGCCCUUGUUGAUGCUACCUGUCUAGACCGAGGACUGCGUCUUUGACUAGGAUGUUGGCAUAAUGAUCUUAAGUCGCCC